UACGGGGGGGGCAAGCGUUGUUCGGAAUUACUGGGCGUAAAGGGCGUGUAGGCGGCCAACUAAGUCCGACGUGAAAUCCCCAGGCUUAACCUGGGAACUGCGUCGGAUACUGGAUGGCUUGAAUUCGGGAGAGGGAUGCGGAAUUCCAGGUGUAGCGGUGAAAUGCGUAGAUAUCUGGAGGAACACCGGUGGCGAAGGCGGCAUCCUGGACCGACAUUGACGCUGAGGAGCGAAAGCCAGGGGAGCAAACGGG
RNAcentral lists this ribosomal RNA (253 nucleotides) under uncultured bacterium. Its description in RNAcentral is "partial 16S ribosomal RNA". It matches the Rfam family "Bacterial small subunit ribosomal RNA", at positions 524 to 776 of the family's 1533-position model. The record is from RNAcentral.